This 240-nucleotide ribosomal RNA is filed under the name uncultured bacterium. RNAcentral describes it as "partial 16S ribosomal RNA". It matches the Rfam family "Bacterial small subunit ribosomal RNA", at positions 94 to 334 of the family's 1533-position model. The record is from RNAcentral.
AGCGGCGGACGGGUGAGUAACGCGUGGGUAACCUGCCUCAUACAGGGGGAUAACAGUUGGAAACGGCUGCUAAUACCGCAUAAGCGCACAGUACCGCAUGGUACGGUGUGAAAAACUCCGGUGGUAUGAGAUGGACCCGCGUCUGAUUAGGUAGUUGGUGGGGUAACGGCCUACCAAGCCGACGAUCAGUAGCCGACCUGAGAGGGUGACCGGCCACAUUGGGGCUGAGACACGGCCCAA